RNAcentral lists this ribosomal RNA (253 nucleotides) under uncultured bacterium. RNAcentral describes it as "partial 16S ribosomal RNA". It matches the Rfam family "Bacterial small subunit ribosomal RNA", at positions 524 to 776 of the family's 1533-position model. The record is from RNAcentral.
GACAGAGGGUGCAAACGUUGUUCGGAUUUACUGGGCGUAAAGCGCGUGUAGGCGGCCCGGUAAGUCCGCUGUGAAAGUCGGGGGCUCAACCCUCGAAUGCCGGUGGAUACUGUCGGGCUAGAGUGCGGAAGAGGCGAGUGGAAUUCCUGGUGUAGCGGUGAAAUGCGCAGAUAUCAGGAGGAACACCAAUUGCGAAGGCAGCUCGCUGGGACGUGACUGACGCUGAGACGCGAAAGCGUGGGGAGCAAACAGG